GGUGAGGGUCGGGGAGGAGCAAAGCAUCUUCCGUUGCUUGUAACCACCCAGACCCAGCCCGUCCCGUCCCUGCUCACCUGGGGAGGCACCGGCAAGGAAACUGCCCGCCGGCCCGCGCCUCAGACAUUACUGAUGGUGGGUAGGCUCUUGGCCAGUCCUUACUCUGAAGAGGAAGAGAAAAACCACAGUCUUGAAACUGCAAAGUAAUGGGGUCAGUAAUUGCCAUUAGUACCUGGUACUGGACUCUCCAUGGUUGCAGCAUGAUUACCCUACCUAAGAUCCCCGUGGUUUCCAGGUAAUUCCCAGCACACACAGGAAUGAGUCAUACCUCAUUAUUAAUUUUAUUUUUUUUUAUCCCAUUCAGGCAGGAGCUAGAAGAGAUGCACUAAGGACUACAUUAAAAAGCUGAGAUUACAUUAUGCAUUAUCCUAUCAUAGGAACAGAUGAAAGUUAAAUGAGAGACAGAAUUAGCAUGGGUGCUAGAAUCUAUGCAUAUGCAAGAAUCCACCUCCAACAAAAAACUGAAAGCCCUGUUGUAGAAAUAUAGGUUGCUAAAUAAGCUAUUAGUGGUAUCUUAUACACAAAAAGGAACAUUCUUCCAUUAAGGAACACUCUGGAGUUGCAGAGAGUCUCCUGCCAGGUGGAUUAUUCACUCCAUAAAUCUCAAUUGCCAACAAACUCCUUGGCAGCCAGGAAAAGAAAACAAUGGGCACUUGGCUGCCGAUUAACAGACUAUCAAGAUACUUUAGUGCUUUCUGACUAAGUUUUGUGGAAGGCCUUAAAAAAGCUGGACAGUGCAGAAACCUUUCAAGAUCACAAAAAACCCCAGCAAUCCUGGUCUAAAAAAGAAACCUAAGGGCAAGAAACAGAACAGAGAUAAGAAGGGAAAGCAGAACCAGGAUUACAAUAAGGUACUAAAAAUACAAGUACAAUGUGAAGAGCUGUAUUUUAUUUUUGACGUUAAUAUAAUCAGCUAGUUUAGAGAUAUGAAAUUCUGCCUUACUGAUGGUGCUGCCUGGUACGUGAAAGGAAAGGAUGAAGAGGGGAACCUGGGAAAAGUAUCCAAAGAGAUAGGAGAGAGAAAGGGAAGCCACAUAAUGAAAAAAUCUGAGGUCAGCUGUGACAGAAAAGUAAUGCUUUUAAAGAACUACAAUGCCAAUAUAAGCUAACAUUAACAUUUAUAAGUGAGUAAGGGAAAUACAUAGACACUGAAAAAUGGAUUUACAAGCAAAACAAAGGAAUUUUCUUUGUUUUCUUUUAUCUUACAGUUUUCUUAUUGUUUGUCUUUCAGCAUUUACACACAUGCUGUCUGGAUGUAUAAUCAUAAGGGAAAUUAACCCUGGAUAACCCCAUGCUGCAGCACUAUUACAGAAAUUGCUCUAGAGAAAACAACUCUAGGAAUAAAAUGGGGGAUGUUCGUCGGAAAUCAAGUAAGUCACAGACACAAUAGGUCUGAAGCAUGGGAAAAUCUCUUUAUGAGAACACACCAUUAAACAUUACAAUCAAGCAUAAAAUUGCUCUGCCACUGUAUUUUGUUUUAUUUGCAUUGUUAAAUUUCUUCUCCUAACAAUAAUGGAUAGUUUAUAGCACUAAUGAUUUAUACAAAAGGAGCAGUGUAAAUGCAUUCCGAAUGGGUGGCUUCUUUCUUAAGAACUGUAGACUCAGUUUCCUUCAGCUAGAUCGCAAAUCAGUGACUCACACAAAUUUCACAUCUGCCUCAGGAUACA
Neopsephotus bourkii (Bourke's parrot) is the source of this 1727-nucleotide long non-coding RNA. RefSeq lists it as uncharacterized. The transcript has 3 exons. Lineage: Eukaryota; Metazoa; Chordata; Aves; Psittaciformes; Psittacidae. The record is from RefSeq and is a predicted model, not a curated record.